GGUGUAGGGAUAGAGACAGCCCUGGCGCUCUGGCCAUCCAUCACAGUCACUGUAGUCAUCUCCCUCCUUGACAGACUCCCUGGAGAGAACAGAAGUAAGGAAUUUCUAUCUCCUCUCACCCGCCUGAACUAGACCAGUCCCUUUGGGGCUCCUUGUGGCACUGAUGGGCUGCUAAUGGAUGUCUGACAGGGGAGAGGAGUCCAGAAAUUUGCCCAAAGGCCAUUCUGAGGAUCGGUUGGCAGAAAAGUGGUCACAACACACAAGCCACAGACUGCUGCAUCCAGUCCCAAAAGAAAGAAAGGAUCCCUACUCAUCCCUACGGAACAACAGCUUUCCAUUCUGAGGGCUGCUAAUGGAUGUCUGAGAGGGAAGAGGGGUCCAGAAAUUUGCCCAAAGCCCAUUCUGAGGAUCGGUUGGCAGAAAAGUGGUCACAACACACAAGCCACAGACUGCUGCAUCCAGUCCCAUAAGAAAGAAAAGAUCCCUGCUCAUCCCUACAGAACAACGGCUUUCCUUUCUGAGGGCUGCUAAUGGAUGUCUGAGAGGGGAGAGGGGUCCAGAAAUUUGCCCAAAGGCCACUCUGAGGAUCGGUUGGCAGAAAAGUGGUCACAACACACAAGCCACAGACUGCUGCAUCCAGUCCCAUAAGAAAGAAAGGAUCCCUGCUCAUCCCUACAGAACAACGGCUUUCCUUUCUGAGGUUGAAGAGGGAAAGAUGAAGGCAGAAGCAGUACCCAGUCCAAUCUGUAAGGGCAAAUGGGACCAGGAAUAUGUGCCCAGGAGAGCUUUUUAAUUUUAAGUAUUUCAUCAAAAAUCCCCAAACUCCCGCAAUUAAAUAAAAAUUUUAAAGG
Molecule: non-coding RNA, 851 nt
Organism: Monodelphis domestica (gray short-tailed opossum)
Lineage: Eukaryota; Metazoa; Chordata; Mammalia; Didelphimorphia; Didelphidae
Source: RefSeq, a predicted model, not a curated record